UGAGGAAUAUUGGUCAAUGGGCGAGAGCCUGAACCAGCCAAGUAGCGUGCAGGAUGACGGCCCUAUGGGUUGUAAACUGCUUUUAUGUGGGGAUAAAGUGCGUGACGUGUCAUGCAUUGCAGGUACCACAUGAAUAAGGACCGGCUAAUUCCGUGCCAGCAGCCACGGUAAUACGGAAGGUCCGGGCGUUAUCCGGAUUUAUUGGGUUUAAAGGGAGCGUAGGCUGUCUAUUAAGCGUGUUGUGAAAUUUACCGGCUCAACCGGUGGCUUGCAGCGCGAACUGGUCGACUUGAGUAUGCAGGAAGUAGGCGGAAUUCAUGGUGUAGCGGUGAAAUGCUUAGAUAUCAUGACGAACUCCGAUUGCGCAGGCAGCUUACUGUAGCAUAACUGACGCUGAUGCUCGAAAGUGCGGGUAUCAAACAGG
RNAcentral lists this ribosomal RNA (424 nucleotides) under Fusobacteriota bacterium. Its description in RNAcentral is "Fusobacteria bacterium partial 16S ribosomal RNA". It matches the Rfam family "Bacterial small subunit ribosomal RNA", at positions 355 to 776 of the family's 1533-position model. The record is from RNAcentral. Lineage: Bacteria; Fusobacteriati; Fusobacteriota.